Molecule: non-coding RNA, 82 nt
Organism: Chiloscyllium plagiosum (whitespotted bambooshark)
Lineage: Eukaryota; Metazoa; Chordata; Chondrichthyes; Orectolobiformes; Hemiscylliidae
Source: the annotation of a RefSeq genome assembly
GGUAGUGUGGCCGAGUGGUCUAAGGCGCUGGAUUUAACCUCCAGUCUCUAUCGAGGCGUGGGUUUGAAUCCCACCACUACCG